This 392-nucleotide ribosomal RNA is filed under the name uncultured bacterium. Its description in RNAcentral is "partial 16S ribosomal RNA". It matches the Rfam family "Bacterial small subunit ribosomal RNA", at positions 523 to 918 of the family's 1533-position model. The record is from RNAcentral.
AUACGGAGGAUCCGAGCGUUAUCCGGAUUUAUUGGGUUUAAAGGGUGCGCAGGCGGCCAUUUAAGUCAGCGGUUAAAUCGUGGGGCUCAACCCCAUUCUGCCGUUGAUACUGGGUGGCUUGAUUGCGGUCGAGGUUGGCGGAAUUCGUUGUGUAGCGGUGAAAUGCAUAGAUAUGACGAAGAACACCGAUUGCGUAGGCAGCUGACCAGACCGCAAAUGACGCUCAUGCACGAAAGUGCGGGGAUCGAACAGGAUUAGAUACCCUGGUAGUCCGCACAGUAAACGAUGAAUACUUGUUUUCGGCGAUAGAAUGUCGGAGGCAAAGCGAAAGCGAUAAGUAUUCCACCUGGGGAGUACGCCGGCAACGGGGAAACUCAAAUGAAUUGACGGGG